Molecule: transfer RNA, 83 nt
Filed under: Candidatus Lernaella stagnicola
Lineage: Bacteria; Candidatus Lernaellota; Candidatus Lernaellaia; Candidatus Lernaellales; Candidatus Lernaellaceae
Description: tRNA-Tyr
Rfam family: tRNA
About the family: Transfer RNA (tRNA) molecules are approximately 80 nucleotides in length.
Source: RNAcentral
GGCGAGAUACCCGAGUGGCCAAAGGGGGCGGACUGUAAAUCCGCUGGCAGUAGCCUACGGUGGUUCGAAUCCACCUCUCGCCA